UACGUAGGGUGCGAGCGUUAAUCGGAAUUACUGGGCGUAAAGCGCGCGUAGGCGGCUUUGCAAGUCGGGUGUGAAAUCCCCAGGCUUAACCUGGGAACUGCAUUCGAGACUGCAUUGCUAGAGUAUGGGAGAGGGAAGUGGAAUUUCCGGUGUAGCGGUGAAAUGCGUAGAUAUCGGAAGGAACAUCAGUGGCGAAAGCGACUCCUGGACCAAUACUGACGCUCAUGUGCGAAAGCGUGGGGAGCAAACAGG
RNAcentral lists this ribosomal RNA (252 nucleotides) under uncultured bacterium. RNAcentral describes it as "partial 16S ribosomal RNA". It matches the Rfam family "Bacterial small subunit ribosomal RNA", at positions 524 to 776 of the family's 1533-position model. The record is from RNAcentral.